RNAcentral lists this non-coding RNA (118 nucleotides) under unclassified sequences. The record is from RNAcentral.
GUCCUCAGAAAAUGACAAGCAUGUGGGGCGUAAGUAGCUAAGCAGUAAUGGUAUAGUAUCAGCAAUGACCAUUACGCCGAAACUGAUUGCUAUAAUCGUGCGGACGUUAAAAUCAUGU